AUGGAUGUGAGGAUUAUUUCCCCAUAUGAUCGAAGUUGAUUAUACUGUGCUACUAUUUUUCUCCCUCGUGGAGAAUCCAAGCCAGUAAUCUGAUCCAU
Molecule: small nucleolar RNA, 98 nt
Filed under: Genlisea aurea
Lineage: Eukaryota; Viridiplantae; Streptophyta; Magnoliopsida; Lamiales; Lentibulariaceae
Description: Small nucleolar RNA Z103
Rfam family: Small nucleolar RNA Z103
About the family: This family consists of several snoRNA Z103 sequences which are members of the C/D class of snoRNA which contain the C (UGAUGA) and D (CUGA) box motifs. This family seems to be found exclusively in plants.
Source: Rfam by way of RNAcentral